UGGGAUGUGGCUCAGUGGGUAGAAUGCUUGUCUAGCAUGCACAAAGCUCUGGGUUCCAUCCCCAGCAUCUCAU
RNAcentral lists this transfer RNA (73 nucleotides) under Cricetulus griseus (Chinese hamster). It matches the Rfam family "tRNA". Rfam says of the family: Transfer RNA (tRNA) molecules are approximately 80 nucleotides in length. Their secondary structure includes four short double-helical elements and three loops (D, anti-codon, and T loops). The record is from Rfam by way of RNAcentral. Lineage: Eukaryota; Metazoa; Chordata; Mammalia; Rodentia; Cricetidae.